RNAcentral lists this unclassified non-coding RNA (200 nucleotides) under Alatospora sp. Its description in RNAcentral is "partial internal transcribed spacer 2". The record is from RNAcentral. Lineage: Eukaryota; Fungi; Ascomycota; Leotiomycetes; Leotiales; Leotiaceae.
UUAAGUUCAGCGGGUAUCCCUACCUGAUCCGAGGUCAACCUUUAAAAAAUUUGGGGUUAUUGGCAGGUACACAGACGGGUCAUCAGAGCGAGAAAAAUUACUACGCUUGAAGCCGAAUGGCAUCGCCACUGAUUUUACGGCACACUUUUACAAGUGAGGCCUAAUACCAAGCAUAGCUUGAGGGUUGUAAUGACGCUCGA